Molecule: RNA transcript, 1836 nt
Organism: Colossoma macropomum (tambaqui)
Lineage: Eukaryota; Metazoa; Chordata; Actinopteri; Characiformes; Serrasalmidae
Gene name: major histocompatibility complex class I-related gene protein-like
Exons: 6
Source: RefSeq, a predicted model, not a curated record
CUGCACUCCUGCUGAGUCUCCAGAGCAGAAAGCCGAAAGAUCUCCAAGAGGCUGAAGACGUCAACUGAUCAUUUUGUCCAGUUUAAGGAGUUCAUUUCGCUCAUUAUGGUUCCAGUCUGCAGUGAGAGAUGGGACACAUCAUGAAGUCCCUGCUGCUCCUCAUCUUCACUCUUCAUGUCUCUUCAGCAGCCUCUCACUCUCUGGACUACUUCUUCACUGGAGUCACACCAGGAACCAGCUUCCCAGAGUUCACUGCUGUCGGUCAGUUGGAUGGACUUCAAGGAGGGUAUUAUGACAGUAACAGCAGGGAAGUGAUCCUAACGGGAGAGUGGAUAAAGAACAACACGGAUGAAGAGCACUGGAAUGAGGUAACACAGAGGUCCCGUCGUUAUCAGGAGGACUUCAAAUUCAGUUUAGCUGCAGCAAUGAGGCUCUUCAAUCACACUGAAGGGAUUCACACGUGGCAGUGGACGUGCGGCUGUGAGCUUCAUGAUGGUGGAACCAAAAGAGGAUACAGCCAAUAUGGUUAUGAUGGAGAAGACUUCCUCAGUCUGGAUCUGAACACUGUCACCUGGACUGCAGCUACCAAUGAAGCUGUUAUUAUAAAACAGGACUGGGGGUCACCUAAAGCUUUAAACCAUAAGAUCUUUCUGGGGAACACCUGUAUUGAGUGGUUACAGAAGUAUGUGGUUUAUGGCAGAGCCACUCUGGAGCGGAGAGUCUCUCCUGAGGUGUCUCUGUUCCAGAAGAAUUCUUCUUCUCCAGUGGUGUGUCACGCUACAGGUUUCUUCCCCAAAGCAGUUAAAAUCUCCUGGCAGAGGAAUGGAGAGGAUCUGCUUGAGGACGUGGAGCUCAGAGAGACGCUACCCAACCAGGAUGGAACCUUUCAGAGGAGGAGCGUUCUGACUGUCUCACCUGAGGAGCUGGACAAACACCACUACACCUGCAUCAUUCAGCACAGCAGCCUGGAGCAGGAGAUACCUGUAAGACCUGUGCUACCUGUGAUGAAUCCCAAAGUUUCAGAUGGAGUCUUUAUUGGUAUCAUCAUCGGUGCAUUGGUGACUGUUCUCCUCGUUAUCAUCGGUGUUGGAGUUCUUGUAUGGAUGAAGUAGAAGAAGCCUGGCAAAAGAAGAAAAUAAACAUGUGCCGACAUUUUAUUGGCAUGUGCCCAGGGGCCUGAGCCACUAGAGGGGGCCCGCAAGCUAAACAGAUGUUUUAACUCGUGGUGUGAACUUUACAAGCAGAACAACAAAAAAAAGGAAGCGUUUUCAACCUUAUGGUCAAUCAUAAUCCUGAUGCUUAUCUCUAAAAGUCUGCUUCAUUUUCUCCUCCAAUCACAAUUAGCAACCGUUCCACUAUCCUCCAUUGCCUCGGUCAAGCUUUCAGGGAUUUACAUUGUUUUUUUAACAUUGAGCCAGUGUUCCUUUGAAUGCACUGUGAAUGUAAAUAGGGGCCCACCAAAUAUUUAUGCCCAGGGGCCGAAAACAUGAUGAUCUGGGUCUAAGCUGUUUACUGCAUUUAUACAGUAUACUGUAUAAAUAUAUACAAUACUUUAUGAAUAUUAAAAUGUAAUUUUUGUGUAAUUUUGAUGUAUUUUUGUAUUCUACAUCAUUAGCUUUUUAACCCCCCCGCAGAUGUUUGGAAAUCCCCAUAUGUGACAGAGAUGAAGAAGCAGAUGAUGAAUGAUUCUGAAUUGAUUCUGAAUGAAGAGUUGAUUCAGAGUCAACCAGUGCUUAUAAUACACAAACAUCUUUCUUCAUUAACUUUUAAUUUGGAAACUAUUUCUCUUUUUGGUUUGAUUUUUCUGUUUUUGCUUUUGGUACCAUGGCCAUUGGG